Molecule: ribosomal RNA, 497 nt
Filed under: uncultured bacterium
Lineage: Bacteria
Description: partial 16S ribosomal RNA
Rfam family: Bacterial small subunit ribosomal RNA
Source: RNAcentral
GAUGAACGCUGGCGGCGUGCCUAAUACAUGCAAGUCGAGCGAACAGACGAGGAGCUUGCUCCUCUGACGUUAGCGGCGGACGGGUGAGUAACACGUGGAUAACCUACCUAUAAGACUGGGAUAACUUCGGGAAACCGGAGCUAAUACCGGAUAAUAUAUUGAACCGCAUGGUUCAAUAGUGAAAGACGGCUUUGCUGUCACUUAUAGAUGGAUCCGCGCCGCAUUAGCUAGUUGGUAAGGUAACGGCUUACCAAGGCAACGAUGCGUAGCCGACCUGAGAGGGUGAUCGGCCACACUGGAACUUAGACACGGUCCAGAGUCCUACGGGAGGCAGCAGUAGGGAAUCUGCCGCAGUGGGCGAAAACCUGACGGAGCAACGCCGCGUGAGUGAUGAAGGUCUUCCGAUCGUAAAACUCUGUUAUUAGUGAAGAACAAAUGUGUAAGUAACUAUGCACGUCUUGACGGUACCGAGUCAGAAAGCCACGGCUAACUACGUG